CGCUACCGGGCUAUGCCUACGAUUCCAGGUAUGCCCCACUUCCCCAAGUACUUCCUAAAGUCAGUAAACUGCCACUUCCUAAUUACUGCCCCGCUUAAAAUUAGUUAAAAAAGCUCCUACGCUUCUUUUUUUGACCGCCCUCUGCCACUUUCCUCAGAGGGCUCCUGCUCGAAUUUCUUAUUGCCUUCUUUUAUCAAGAAAAAUACAAAAAUUUUUGUAUCAAAAAAUAUCAU
RNAcentral lists this unclassified non-coding RNA (233 nucleotides) under Ambystoma annulatum (ringed salamander). Its description in RNAcentral is "partial trnT-trnP intergeneic spacer". Lineage: Eukaryota; Metazoa; Chordata; Amphibia; Caudata; Ambystomatidae. The record is from RNAcentral.